Molecule: long non-coding RNA, 284 nt
Filed under: Nicotiana benthamiana
Lineage: Eukaryota; Viridiplantae; Streptophyta; Magnoliopsida; Solanales; Solanaceae
Description: long non-coding RNA (NBEN_LNC026084)
Source: RNAcentral
GUUUCAGAAGUUAGGUGCAACAUGUCUAAGUUGGAAGGUGAUGCAAGGGACUUUUUGAAUCGAACAAGGCAGAUCGUCGACCAAAUGUUCAGCAAGUAGGACAGUCGAAGGAUUUGGCUUCUGCAGAACAAACUUGUCCAGUUAAUCUAUUACCAAAUGGACAGGGGAUUCAACCUGUAAGUGGAGUAAUUCAAAAUCAAGCUGAAAUUUCAACUGCCAACAUUACGGUUAAUUGGGAUUCAACCUGUAAGUGGAUUAAUUAAAAAUCAAGGUGAAAUUUCAAC